Molecule: unclassified non-coding RNA, 244 nt
Filed under: fungal sp.
Lineage: Eukaryota; Fungi
Description: partial internal transcribed spacer region
Rfam family: Eukaryotic small subunit ribosomal RNA (bases 1-46)
Source: RNAcentral
AAGUCGUAACAAGGUUUCCGUAGGUGAACCUGCGGAAGGAUCAUUAGAAAUCACCGGCCUGGCCGGUAUAAAAUUCUAUCCACCCUUGUGUGCAAACAAUUGAAAAAAAAAGAGAAAAUAUUGGAUAGUUUUUUGUAUCCAACUUCUCUAAAAUUCUUUAUAAACUCCAUCAAAUUUUGAAUAAAAACAUUUUUUUUUUAAUAAAAAUAUUAUACAACUUUCAACAACGGAUCUCUUGGCUCUC